RNAcentral lists this ribosomal RNA (468 nucleotides) under uncultured bacterium. RNAcentral's name for it is "partial 16S ribosomal RNA". It matches the Rfam family "Bacterial small subunit ribosomal RNA", at positions 28 to 507 of the family's 1533-position model. The record is from RNAcentral.
GACGAACGCUGGCGGCGUGCUUAACACAUGCAAGUCGAACGGAAAGGCCCUGCUUUUGUGGGGUGCUCGAGUGGCGAACGGGUGAGUAACACGUGAGUAACCUGCCCUUGACUUUGGGAUAACUUCAGGAAACUGGGGCUAAUACCGGAUAGGAGCUCCUGCUGCAUGGUGGGGGUGGGAAAGUUUCGGCGGUUGGGGAUGGACUCGCGGCUUAUCAGCUUGUUGGUGGGGUAGUGGCUUACCAAGGCAUUGACGGGUAGCCGGCCUGAGAGGGUGACCGGCCACAUUGGGACUGAGAUACGGCCCAGACUCCUACGGGAGGCAGCAGUGGGGAAUAUUGCACAAUGGGCGGAAGCCUGAUGCAGCAACGCCGCGUGCGGGAUGACGGCCUUCGGGUUGUAAACCGCUUUCGCCUGUGACGAAGCGUGAGUGACGGUAAUGGGUAAAGAAGCACCGGCUAACUACGUG